Long non-coding RNA from Dendrobium catenatum, 781 nucleotides. RefSeq lists it as uncharacterized. The transcript is spliced from 4 exons. The record is from RefSeq and is a predicted model, not a curated record. NCBI's taxonomy places the organism in Eukaryota, Viridiplantae, Streptophyta, Magnoliopsida, Asparagales, Orchidaceae.
UUAUUUGCUGUAGCUUUCCACUUAGCCACUCAUGCAUGCGUCUGAUGUAAAUCAAAUGGUUGAUAUGGUAUUGAAAAGGUAGUGGAAAAUGUACUACAUUAGAAUAAUAUUAUUUAAUAAAACAUAGAGCAUUAAAAUUAGAAUAUCAAUUCCUUUUAUCCCCUCCCUCAGCCAAAACCUAGAAGUCCUGAAACCUGGAGGUAAAGCAGUGGGUAAGAAAAUAGGGAAACUGGGAGGAUUCGAUUGCUGGAAGGCAAAAUCAGCAAAGUUGCUGGAAGGAGAAAUCAACAAAGCUGUUGGAAAGCUGUUGGAAGGAAAAAAAAUUAAGUGUUGAAUCAACCGUUGAUGUAGAAACUGCAGUUUGGGUAUUUCUUUCUCAGGAAUACAUAAAUUGUGGAUUUCUGUCAAUCAUUUUGAAUGUUAAAUGUGGAAAUCAGUAGAAAAAAAAGGGUUUGUGAUGGUAAACUUCUAGAAAUAUGAAAGAAACAUAGGAAGGAAAGAAAAGAAUCAGAUUACUAUUUAAUGAGGAAGAAUUUAGUUGAGGUAGUGUACAAAAGAAGAAGAAAACAGGAAGAACGAAUCCCAAGUGAGGUGAGAUACCCAAUGAUGCAUAAGAAAUAGUAACAAUUUUAUAAAUCUUCAAUUUGAUGUUUUUAUCAUGUUUAUUAUUUCCUUUCUCAUGAUAGCAUGUUUUUCUUUUUCAAAUAGUUCAAUUGCUUCAUAUGUGAAUUACACAUGUACUAAUUUCAAUUUAUAUAAUCGUUGGAUAUGAUUAUGACAA